RNAcentral lists this ribosomal RNA (253 nucleotides) under uncultured bacterium. RNAcentral's name for it is "partial 16S ribosomal RNA". It matches the Rfam family "Bacterial small subunit ribosomal RNA", at positions 524 to 776 of the family's 1533-position model. The record is from RNAcentral.
UACGGAGGGUGCGAGCGUUGUUCGGAAUUAUUGGGCGUAAAGGGCGCGUAGGCGGCGCCACAAGUCACUUGUGAAAACUCUGGGCUCAACUCAGAGCCUGCAAGCGAAACUGUGGUGCUGGAGUAUGGGAGAGGUGCGUGGAAUUCCCAGUGUAGCGGUGAAAUGCGUAGAUAUCUGGAGGAACACCGGUGGCGAAGGCGGCAGCCUGGACCAUGACUGACGCUGAGGAGCGAAAGCCAGGGGAGCAAACGGG